UACAGAGGUCUCAAGCGUUGUUCGGAUUCAUUGGGCGUAAAGGGUGUGUAGGCGGCUUCACAGGUCCGCUGUGAAAACUCGAGGCUCAACCUCGAGCUGUCGGUGGAAACCGUGUGGCUAGAGUCCGGAAGAGGAGAGUGGAAUUCCUGGUGUAGCGGUGAAAUGCGCAGAUAUCAGGAAGAACACCCGUGGCUAAGGCGGCUCUCUAGUACGGUACUGACGCUGAGACGCGAAAGCGUGGGGAGCGAACAGG
This 253-nucleotide ribosomal RNA is filed under the name uncultured bacterium. RNAcentral describes it as "partial 16S ribosomal RNA". It matches the Rfam family "Bacterial small subunit ribosomal RNA", at positions 524 to 776 of the family's 1533-position model. The record is from RNAcentral.